This 512-nucleotide ribosomal RNA is filed under the name uncultured bacterium. Its description in RNAcentral is "partial 16S ribosomal RNA". It matches the Rfam family "Bacterial small subunit ribosomal RNA", at positions 28 to 507 of the family's 1533-position model. The record is from RNAcentral.
GAUGAACGCUGGCGGCGUGCCUAAUACAUGCAAGUCGAACGAAACUUCUUUAUCACCGAGUGCUUGCACUCACCGAUAAAGAGUUGAGUGGCGAACGGGUGAGUAACACGUGGGCAACCUGCCCAAAAGAGGGGGAUAACACUUGGAAACAGGUGCUAAUACCGCAUAACCAUAGUUACCGCAUGGUAACUAUGUAAAAGGUGGCUAUACUACCGCUUUUGGAUGGGCCCGCGGCGCAUUAGCUAGUUGGUAGGGUAAAGGCUUACCAAGGCAAUGAUGCGUAGCCGAAUUGAGAGGUUGAUCGGCCACAUUGGGACUGAGACACGGCCCAAACUCCUACGGGAGGCAGCAGUAGGAAAUCUUCCACAAUGGGCGAAAGCCUGAUGGAGCAACGCCGCGUGGGUGAAGAAGGUCUUCGGAUCGUAAAACCCUGUUGUUAGAGAAGAAAGUGCGUGAGAGUAACUGUUCACGUUUCGACGGUAUCUAACCAGAAAGCCACGGCUAACUACGUG